Molecule: long non-coding RNA, 1158 nt
Filed under: Homo sapiens (human)
Lineage: Eukaryota; Metazoa; Chordata; Mammalia; Primates; Hominidae
Description: HSALNT0261956
Source: RNAcentral
GAAUCAGAAAGGAAAAAAAAGGAAGUCUAUUGAACAAUGAGAACAAAAGCAUUUUUAAUGUUUUUUUUUAAUAUUUUUUGUUUGCUGGUUUCUUUGAGAUGGAGACUGACUCUACUGCCCAGGCUGAGGGCAGUGGCACGAUUUUGCCUCACGGCAACCUCUACCUCCCAGGUUUAAGCGACUCUUGUGCCUCAGCCUCUCAAGUAGCUGGAACUAAAGGUGCACACCACCACCCCCCGGCUAACUUUUGUAUUUUUAGUAGAGAUGGGGUUUCACCAUGUUAGCCAGGGUGCUCUUGAACUUCUGACCUUAGGUGAUCCACUCACAUCAGUCUACCAAAGUGUUGUGAUUGCAGGGAUGAGCCACCAUCCAGCUUUGAUAUCCUUUUUUUUUUUUUUUUUUUGAGACAGAUUCUCACUGUCGCCCAGGCCGGAGUGCAGUGGCACGAUGUUGGCUCCCUGCAAGCUCCGUCUCCAGGAUUCACACCAUUCUCCUGCCUCAGCCUCCCAAGCAGCUAGGACUACAGGCACCUGCCACCACGCCUGGCUAAUAUUUUAUAUUUUUAGUAGAGAUGGGGUUUCACCGUGUUAGCCAGGACGGUCUCGAUCUCCUGACCUUGUCAUGGGCCCGUCUCGGCCUCCCAAAGUGCUGGGAUUACUUACAUGAGCCUCCGUGCCUGGCCUGAUCUCCCUUUUAUAAAGUACUAUAUCAAAAAAGUACUAUCUCUUUAAAAAGUACUAUCUCAAAAAAGAAAAAUAGAAAAUAAGAAUCAAAAAACAGGCUGGGAAAAGUGGCUGACAUCUGUUGGCCAUGCUGGUUUCAAACUUCUGACCUCAAGUGACCUAUGUGCCUUGGCCUCCAACCGUGCUGGAAUUACAGGUGUGAGAAACCACACCUGGCCCAAUCCUCUUAACAUAAACACUUGAAUGUCAAUUAAGGGUUGAACUCAAUGUUAAGUCAACACAAACUCAAGUCAAUGCUGGACUGACUCUAGUGUCAAUUAAUGCUUGAUGGUUUGCUAUACUCACUGCAUUGGGAACAGUUAUCUCAAAAAUGAAUUUUCUGAUGUUCUGCAAGGAGUGACCUCGGACUCAAGACCUUGCCACACUUCUGACAUUUGUAAGAUUUCUGUCCAGUAGGGAUUCUCUGAUGUCUAAU